RNAcentral lists this ribosomal RNA (837 nucleotides) under uncultured archaeon. RNAcentral describes it as "bacterial SSU rRNA". It matches the Rfam family "Archaeal small subunit ribosomal RNA", at positions 21 to 859 of the family's 1478-position model. The record is from RNAcentral.
GGUUACUGCUAUCGGUGUUCGCCUAAGCCAUGCGAGUCAUACGUUCGUAAGAACAUGGCGUACUGCUCAGUAACACGUGGAUAACCUGCCCUUGGGUCCGGCAUAACCCCGGGAAACUGGGGAUAAUUCCGGAUAACGCACAUAUGCUGGAAUGCUUUAUGCGUAAAAUGGAUUCGUCUGCCCAAGGAUGGGUCUGCGGCCUAUCAGGUAGUAGUGGGUGUAAUGUACCUACUAGCCUACGACGGGUACGGGUUGUGAGAGCAAGAGCCCGGAGAUGGAUUCUGAGACAUGAAUCCAGGCCCUACGGGGCGCAGCAGGCGCGAAAACUUUACAAUGCGGGAAACCGUGAUAAGGGGACACCGAGUGCCAGCAUCCUAUGCUGGCUGUCCGGGUGUGUAAAAUACACCUGUUAGCAAGGGCCGGGCAAGACCGGUGCCAGCCGCCGCGGUAACACCGGCGGCCCGAGUGGUGAUCGUGAUUGUUGGGUCUAAAGGGUCCGUAGCCGGUUUGGUCAGUCCUCCGGGAAAUCUGACAGCUCAACUGUUAGGCUAUCGGAGGAUACUGCCAGACUUGGAACCGGGAGAGGUAAGAGGUACUACAGGGGUAGGAGUGAAAUCUUGUAAUCCCUGUGGGACCACCUGUGGCGAAGGCGUCUUACCAGAACGGGUUCGACGGUGAGGGACGAAAGCUGGGGGCACGAACCGGAUUAGAUACCCGGGUAGUCCCAGCCGUAAACGAUGCUCGCUAGGUGUCAGGCAUGGCGCGACCGUGUCUGGUGCCGCAGGGAAGCCGUGAAGCGAGCCACCUGGGAAGUACGGCCGCAAGGCUGAAACUUAA